GCGAGAGUGGCGGAAUUGGCAGACGCACUAGACUUAGGAUCUAGCGGGUAAAACCGUGGGGGUUCGAGUCCCCCCUCUCGCACCA
RNAcentral lists this transfer RNA (85 nucleotides) under Bacillota bacterium. RNAcentral's name for it is "tRNA-Leu". It matches the Rfam family "tRNA". Rfam says of the family: Transfer RNA (tRNA) molecules are approximately 80 nucleotides in length. RNAcentral also lists the same sequence under 1 other name. Lineage: Bacteria; Bacillati; Bacillota. The record is from RNAcentral.